UCCAUGAAGUCGGAAUCGCUAGUAAUCGUAGAUCAGAAUGCUACGGUGAAUACGUUCCCGGGCCUUGUACACACCGCCCGUCACACCAUGGGAGUGGGUUGCAAAAGAAGUAGGUAGCUUAACCUUCGGGAGGGCGCUUACCACUUUGUGAUUCAUGACUGGGGUGAAGUCGUAACAAGGUAACCGUAGGGGAACCUGCGGUUGGAUCACCUCCUUA
This 217-nucleotide ribosomal RNA is filed under the name Pseudomonas aeruginosa. Its description in RNAcentral is "partial 16S ribosomal RNA". It matches the Rfam family "Bacterial small subunit ribosomal RNA", at positions 1317 to 1533 of the family's 1533-position model. The record is from RNAcentral. Lineage: Bacteria; Pseudomonadati; Pseudomonadota; Gammaproteobacteria; Pseudomonadales; Pseudomonadaceae. RNAcentral also lists the same sequence under 3 other names.